Pyrus x bretschneideri (Chinese white pear) is the source of this 2143-nucleotide long non-coding RNA. RefSeq lists it as uncharacterized. Lineage: Eukaryota; Viridiplantae; Streptophyta; Magnoliopsida; Rosales; Rosaceae. The record is from RefSeq and is a predicted model, not a curated record. The transcript is spliced from 2 exons.
GUUAUCUCGCAAAAUAUUAAGACUGUACACAAAACACUUAACUACAAAAUCCUUAACCUCUGUAAAAUUAAAUUUACAGUUUGUUUUCAAAUACAUAUAAAACUGCUUGCAGUGUAUACGUUCUAUUUCUGUUUUACUAUUUUUAUUUAUUUAUUCUAUGGACAACAUUAUCUUGAACAGAACUGGAUCAACACUUUUUUUCAUUGAUUCAGACACUCCAAAUUUAAAUUCGUACAAAUCAGUGUAACUCCAUUCAUUACAAUAAAAUCGAAAUCAUAACAUGGUUAGCACGGUUAAACAAAAACAGUUAUUUGUAUACACCUAUUUAGCUAAUAUUCAAUCUAAACUAUUGCAUAUUUUCCAACUGGCCUCACCCGAUUUGAACACUCCCUCAUUCCAAUCAGGCGAAUGAGACUGAUAUUUUACAAACUGGAAAGAGAGUGAAGAUCGAGGAACUAGGUUAUUUGGAUCCAGAUUUAUAUAAGGUAUAUACAAGUUGUCAUAUUGAAUCAAAGCCAUCUUAUUCGAUUUUUGCGUCUUUAACAAAAGCUAUUUCUUUAAUAAUUAUCACAUAUAUAAAUAGUUUUCUAAAUAUUUACAGGAUGACAUGUUUUUGUGCAAAGCAUCGAUCAAGCAGUUUAACACGAGGUAUGAAUGGUCGUACACUACUUGCCAUACAUGUGCCAAACAAAUAUACAAGGAUCCAACAAGCGGUCAACUAAUUUGCCAAAAACAUCCAAAUCAAAUUCCAACUCCUUGGUAAUAACUUAAACGGUAUAUUUCAAUUCCACUAAUUAAUUGUUCCCUCGUGUCAUUCUUGCAUUAACAUUUACUGCUUAUUUAAUUUUUACACCUUUAACUUAAUCCCUUUUAACUGAUGAUCACUGGUUGGUUACGAAAAUACUAUCAAAAUUUAGUCAACCAAACAUCAAAUUGUAAGUGCAAUAAAAUCAUUGCAUUUAGUCAUGCAACCACAAAACUGACCACAGAUUCAUUCAAUUUUGAAAACCAAUUUUAUGCAGCUACCCUUUUGUUUAUCAUGUGCUUUGUGUUAAAUUAAAUUGCAACAUAGAAAAAUUUAUAUAGAUCCAGUUUUAAACUCAUUAAACAAUUUAUACUUUCUAAUAUGUACAUUUUGUUUUUAAAGGAAGGUACAAAGUGUUUUUAGUCAUUGAAGAUGAAACAAAUGAGAUCAACGCUUUUAUUAUUGGCAAAUCAAGGGAAAAAGUGUUCGGGACAACCUGUAAGGAUUUAGUCUUCAAUCAAAGAUCGGUGGAUCAAACGUAGUUGCUGAGUGAGUUUCUUAGACUCAUAGGCUAGAGAAAGAUUUUUUCACCUCCGAUUUGGAAGCAAAAGAAAUUCAUUGAUUUCAAAUGAUUUCUUGAUCUAUAACGUUUCUGAAGACACAAUGAUCCAGCAAGCAACUCCGCAGUCAAUUAGCCGAGAAAUCACAAUCUUCUCUACAACAGUUUCGUCUUCCACUACUCCUUCUGAAACAACUGGAGAAUCGCACAAAAGAAAAAGAUAAUCUAUCAGGAAAGCUCAUUUCACAACAGCUGAAAAAAGGUUGUAUUCUACGUAACAAUGUUUUUAUUCACCUAUCAAAUUACUCUCAAUCCAAUCUAAAUUUCAUUGUUUAUUGUUUUUAAUGUGUUUAAAGUAAUGAGGGAGAAUAAAUUUAUAAAGCAGAUAUGCAAGAUUUUGACCAGGUUCCAAUCAAGCUGCUGAAGAAAAAAAUCCUCCUCGACUAGCUCAAAAACAGACCCUCCUCUCCAGAAGAAAAACUAGUCGUUGCUCCAAGAAAAAAACAUUUGGUGCUGUACUGAACAAUAUUUUCAUCCAUUGUAUAAACAAGAAUAGUGUUCCUUCAUUUUUAUUUUUAUUUUUAUUUUUAUUUUUUGCGUGUGAAUAGCCCAUCGUAACAUCAAUUCCCCAUUUUUUUUGUGUAUAUAAACAAUCUCAUCUUUUGAAAUGUUUUAUCUGCAAGUGGCAGUGUUAAAGAAAAACUAGGAUAUUUGCUAAUGGGGAAUAGCAGGCUAACCAUUUUUGUAUGUAAAUAGCAAGACAUUUGAUAAUGUUCUUUCUAUAAAUUGUAUAAAUUUAGACAUUGCUCUCGCUCUGUAGUUUCCAUUUUGAUUUCUAU